UGCAGUCGNNCGGCAGCACGGGAGCAAUCCUGGUGGCGAGUGGCGAACGGGUGAGUAAUAUAUCGGAACGUGCCCAGUCGUGGGGGAUAACGUAGCGAAAGCUACGCUAAUACCGCAUACGAUCUACGGAUGAAAGCGGGGGACUCGUAAGGGCCUCGCGCGAUUGGAGCGGCCGAUAUCAGAUUAGGUUGUUGGUGAGGUAAAAGCUCACCAAGCCUGCGAUCUGUAGCUGGUCUGAGAGGACGACCAGCCACACUGGAACUGAGACACGGUCCAGACUCCUACGGGAGGCAGCAGUGGGGAAUUUUGGACAAUGGACGCAAGUCUGAUCCAGCAAUGCCGCGUGCAGGACGAAGGCCUUCGGGUUGUAAACUGCUUUUGUACGGAACGAAACGGUCUGCUUUAAUACAGUGGGCUAAUGACGGUACCGUAAGAAUAAGCACCGGCUAACUACGUGCCAGCAGCCGCGGUAAUACGUAGGGUGCGAGCGUUAAUCGGAAUUACUGGGCGUAAAGCGUGCGCAGGCGGUUAUAUAAGACAGAUGUGAAAUCCCCGGGCUCAACUUGGGACCUGCAUUUGUGACUGUAUAGCUAGAGUACGGUAGAGGGGGAUGGAAUUCCGCGUGUAGCAGUGAAAUGCGUAGAUAUGCGGAGGAACACCGAUGGCGAAGGCAAUCCCCUGGACCUGUACUGACGCUCAUGCACGAAAGCGUGGGGAGCAAACAGGAUUANGUACCCUGGUAGUCCACGCCCUAAACGAUGUCAACUGGUUGUUGGGUCUUCACUGACUCAGUAACGAAGCUAACGCGUGAAGUUGACCGCCUGGGGAGUACGGCCGCNANGGUUGAAACUCAAAGGAAUUGACGGGGACCCGCACAAGCGGNGGGAUGAUGUGGUUUAAUUCGAUGCANCGCGAAAAACCNUUACCCACCNUU
Molecule: ribosomal RNA, 934 nt
Filed under: uncultured bacterium
Lineage: Bacteria
Description: bacterial SSU rRNA
Rfam family: Bacterial small subunit ribosomal RNA
Source: RNAcentral